RNAcentral lists this ribosomal RNA (253 nucleotides) under uncultured bacterium. RNAcentral describes it as "partial 16S ribosomal RNA". It matches the Rfam family "Bacterial small subunit ribosomal RNA", at positions 524 to 776 of the family's 1533-position model. The record is from RNAcentral.
UACGUAGGGUGCAAGCGUUAAUCGGAAUUACUGGGCGUAAAGCGUGCGCAGGCGGUGAUGUAAGACAGUUGUGAAAUCCCCGGGCUCAACCUGGGAAUUGCAUCUGUGACUGCAUCGCUAGAGUACGGUAGAGGGGGAUGGAAUUCCGCGUGUAGCAGUGAAAUGCGUAGAUAUGCGGAGGAACACCGAUGGCGAAGGCAAUCCCCUGGACCUGUACUGACGCUCAUGCACGAAAGCGUGGGGAGCAAACAGG